This 2814-nucleotide ribosomal RNA is filed under the name Triticum aestivum (bread wheat). Its description in RNAcentral is "partial small subunit ribosomal RNA". The record is from RNAcentral. Lineage: Eukaryota; Viridiplantae; Streptophyta; Magnoliopsida; Poales; Poaceae.
AUGAGCAAGGUACUCAUCGCCAUGUCUUUUGUGCUGAUGUUCUCGGCAGCUCCGCCGCAAGCAUCGGCUGCGGUCCAUGGAGCCGCCGGAGGGAUCCUGAAGAUCCCUUCCAAUGACUCCUUGGCUCACUGCAUCACGGGGUGCGGGGACAUCGACUUCACCUAUCCCUUUGGUAUAGGGCCCCGCUGCUUCCGUCAAGGCUUUGAUCUCACCUGCAACCACUCCACCAAGCAUCCCAAGCUCUUCUUAGGUAGCAGCACUGUCCAGAUCACUCGCAUGUACUCCAGCUACGGCAUAGUUAUCACCCCUAUAUUCUUCAACCGUACAACGAGUCCAGGUACAAAUACCUACGACAUGUCAUGGGAGGCCCCUGGAAAAGGUAUUACUAUCGCUAGUUAUAAUACUCUGUUCGUAAUUGGUUGUGAUUUUGACGUCACCAUGUUCGAGUAUGGUACGGGAGACAUGGUUGGUUCUUGUAUGAGUAGAUGCGCCGGCGAAAAGGUACCAACUGGAGGGCCUUGUAAUGGAAGAGGCUGCUGCCUCAUCCCGUUAACAAGGGACCUGCCCGGUUUUCGGGCAAAACUUGUCAGCACUAAUACUACUGCAACGCAAUCAGAUUGGUUGCACCCUGGCAUCAUGGCUUUCGUGUCACCUGAUUAUCAUUACAGAGAUGAUGAUAGUGACAACACUAAUACAACCACUCUAUUCUCAAGUUGGACAAAUGCAAGCAAUAUUUAUGGCGCAGCUCUUAGUGUUAACAUCAUGGACCAACCAAGCUGUCAAAGUGCACAAAUGAAGAAUGCAAGCUAUGCCUGUAGCAACGGUAGCAGUUGCCAGAAUUCCUCAUCUGGUGGUUACGGGUGUUACUGCUCUUCUUAUGAAGAAGGCAACCCUUACAUUUUAGAUGGAUGCAUGGAAGAAGCAGAUUAUAACCCCAAGCCCAAAGAACACUGCCCCACAUCAUGUGGACGCAUUACUGUUCCCUUCCCAUUUGGGCUCGAAGAAGGGUGCUUUGCCAACAAAAAAUUUCAUCUGAAUUGUACAUCUGGUAAUCUCACAGUUUCUUUCUCAGAAAAUGUACAAUAUCAUGUGACUCAUGUAUCCGUGGAAGAUGGGACUCUGACAGUUAGCAACAUGGUGGACGGAAAUCAUGCGAAAGAGCGGAUAGAAAUCCAGACUGACAAUGGAUAUGUAGAAGAGACACCUGUGGAAGCUCAAUUUGAUUUCUCUAUGGAGUUCGAUCACUUUGUUAUAAAGUGGGCGGUUGCCAAUUUAACUUGCCAAGCGGCUAAAAAGGAGGAUACUAUGUAUGCAUGCCGCAGUUCCCACAGCAAGUGCCUAAACGUCACCCACGGGGAAAUAUUUAUGGGCUAUCGUUGCAACUGUUCGACAGGCUUUCAAGGAAAUCCGUACGUCAAGGAUGGCUGCGAAGACAUCGAUGAAUGUGCACAAUCAAACUACUGCAAUGGGACAUGUCAAAAUUUUCCUGGAAGCUACAACUGCACGGGUUGCCCUCAUGGAAAAGAGUUUAAUCUCAUAAAAAGGCAGUGUGUUACAUCAACAAAGGAACACAAUCUUCGUUUGGGUAUCGCAAUUGGAACUGGAUGUGGCCUAGGCUCCAUACUUAUUGCACUUUGUGUAUCCAUAUUCAUCAACAAGUGGAAGAACGGCAUCCAGAAGAGAAUCCGGCGAGCACACUUCAAGAAAAAUCAAGGCCUACUCUUGGAGCAGCUGAUCUCAGAUGAAAGCGCCACAAACAAAACAAAGAUAUUCUCCUUGGAGGAACUAGAGAAGGCCACCAACAACUUUGAUGCCACUCGUGUUCUUGGUCGUGGAGGACAUGGUACAGUUUAUAAAGGGAUUCUAUCUGACCAACAGGUGGUGGCUAUUAAAAAAUCCAAAAUUGUGGAGCAGACUGAGAUAGACCAAUUUAUCAAUGAGGUCGCUAUUUUAUCUCAAAUCAUUCAUCGCAAUGUGGUAAAGCUAUUUGGUUGUUGCCUCGAAUCUGAGGUGCCUUUGCUGGUGUACGAGUUCAUAGCCAAUGGUACAUUGCAUGACCUUCUUCACAUUGAUGUUACUGCCAAAUGCUUGCUGUCAUGGGAUGAUCGCAUCAGGAUUGCAGUAGAAGCAGCAGGGGCACUUGCCUAUCUGCACUCGGCUGCUGCAAUACCAAUUUUCCAUAGAGACGUGAAAUCUUCUAACAUACUAUUGGAUAGCAGCUUCGCUUCAAAGGUUUCUGACUUUGGUGCUUCAAGGUCUCUUUCCCUGGAUGAGACUCAUGUGGUGACUAUUGUCCAAGGAACAUUUGGUUACCUAGAUCCAGAGUAUUACCAUACCGGGCAGCUAACUGAAAAGAGUGAUGUGUACAGUUUUGGAGUAAUACUUGUGGAACUUUUGACAAGAAAAAAGCCAAUUUUUAUCAAUGAUCUAGGUGCAAAACAAAACUUGUCCCAUUAUUUCGUGGAAGGAUUGCAAGAGGGAGCUAUCAUGGAAAUAAUGGAUCCUCAGGUUGUCAAAGAGGCAAACCCAGAAGAGGUUCAUGAUAUUUGCUCACUUGCGGAAGCAUGCUUGAGACUCAAAGGAAGAGACAGACCUACCAUGAAAGAAGCAGAUAUGAGGUUGCAAUUCAUGAGAACUAAGAGGCUAAGAAAAUGCAAAAUUCUCCCAGCUAGUGAUGAAGAGAUUGAGCCUUUGUUAUGCAUAAAGGUUGGUAAUUCAGAUGUUGUCAAUGAUGGUAAUUCAACAUCAAAAGGCAUCUCUUGUUGCUACAGUCUAGAACAAGAACUUUCAUCAUCGGUCACUUUACCACGCUAA